Molecule: non-coding RNA, 117 nt
Organism: Danio rerio (zebrafish)
Lineage: Eukaryota; Metazoa; Chordata; Actinopteri; Cypriniformes; Danionidae
Source: Rfam
UGCCGCAGCUAUAUCACCCUGCAGCCCAAGACCGGUUACUCACUGAAGCUAAGCAGGGCUGAGCCUGGUCAGUUCCUGGAUGGGAGACCACUAGGGAACACUAGGUUGCUGUUGGAA